CAAGCGGUGGAGUAGUGUGGUUUAAUUCGAUAGCAACGCGAAGAACCGUUACCUGGUCUUGACAUCCCGGAGACCCUUAGGAAACUAAGGGGGUGGCUUCCAUCUGGAAGAAGUACUGGAGGACAGGUGCUGCAUGGCUGUCGUCAGCUCGUGUCGUGAGAUGUUGGGUUAAGUCCCGCAACGAGCGCAACCCUUGCCUUUAGUUGCCAGCAGUUCGGCUGGGCACUCUAAAGGGACUGCCGGUGUUAAACCGGAGGAAGGUGGGGAUGACGUCAAGUCCUCAUGGCCUUUAUGACCAGGGCUACACACGUACUACAAUGGCCGAUACAAAGGGCAGCGACACUGCGAGGUGAAGCCAAUCCCGUAAAAUCGGUCUCAGUCCGGAUUGGAGUCUGCAACUCGACUCCAUGAAGUUGGAAUCGCUAGUAAUCGUGGAUCAGCAUGCCACGGUGAAUACGUUCCCGGGCCUU
This 470-nucleotide ribosomal RNA is filed under the name uncultured Desulfobulbus sp. Its description in RNAcentral is "bacterial SSU rRNA". It matches the Rfam family "Bacterial small subunit ribosomal RNA", at positions 926 to 1382 of the family's 1533-position model. The record is from RNAcentral. Lineage: Bacteria; Pseudomonadati; Thermodesulfobacteriota; Desulfobulbia; Desulfobulbales; Desulfobulbaceae.